AUUCCUACGGGAGGCAGCAGUGGGGAAUAUUGCACAAUGGGCGGAAGCCUGAUGCAGCAACGCCGCGUGCGGGAUGACGGCCUUCGGGUUGUAAACCGCUUUCAGCAGGGACGAAGCGUGAGUGACGGUACCUGCAGAAGAAGCACCGGCUAACUACGUGCCAGCAGCCGCGGUAAUAAU
RNAcentral lists this ribosomal RNA (180 nucleotides) under uncultured bacterium. RNAcentral describes it as "partial 16S ribosomal RNA". It matches the Rfam family "Bacterial small subunit ribosomal RNA", at positions 335 to 526 of the family's 1533-position model. The record is from RNAcentral.